Molecule: long non-coding RNA, 773 nt
Organism: Apis laboriosa (Himalayan honeybee)
Lineage: Eukaryota; Metazoa; Arthropoda; Insecta; Hymenoptera; Apidae
Exons: 3
Source: RefSeq, a predicted model, not a curated record
UUGACGGUGGCGAGAGGGGAAAAGGGAAAAAGACGAAGAGCGUUCGCCGGAUAAUCCUUGGAGUCAUUUGUCUGCCGACUGUUGAGACGCUCAUUUGUUCGCGGCGCGAUGACAGAUGACAAUGAAGUAGAGAUCGUGCCACGGUCAUGGAGCGUGGGUUGAUAAAGGUGGAGGAAAGGGGGAAAAAAGCAGCAGCAUACCCCGCCUCUAGCAGUUAGGAUGCAGAUCUGUUUGCCGUUCGUGCCUCAAUUAUUCUCGGAUCAUCGUUGUGUAUCGGUCUGCAGAACAAUCGAAUCGUAUUUGUGUCGCCGUGAUUAAAAACAUAAUGUUCUGUUUCGCAAGCGAUAAGUCGUUCUCUGAAAAGAGAGAAAGAAAAGGAAGCAUCACAUUGAACGUAUUCAUGCUUUUAUUUUUUUUAUUAAAUAUAUACCUAGUUUGUCGAAAGAAGAAAAUAAAGUAAAAUAUCGAAAAAAGCAUCUGGCCAAUCGAAAACGAAGAAACGGAGAGUCGUGAAAAAUGAAACUAAGCGCUGCAAAGCUGAAGGGGAAAUAGACGAAGAAAAGAGAAGAAGAAACUAUCGUUCUCUUCCUGGCUAUUAAAUUUAAUAGCCAAUAUCUCCCCUAUUGCUAGCACUUUUUAUGCCUUUUAUCUCCUUGCGAUUCUUUCAAGAUAAGUAAACAUUGAUUUUCUUUAAUAAAUCAAUCUUUCUUAGAUUGUUGAUCCAUAUUUUUUACAACUUCUUUUUUAAUAACACUUAUUAUUUUUUAUUUAUC